ACAGGUGGUGCAUGGUUGUCGUCAGCUCGUGUCGUGAGAUGUUGGGUUAAGUCCCGCAACGAGCGCAACCCUCGUCCUAUGUUGCCAGCGGGUCAUGCCGGGGACUCAUGGGAGACUGCCGGGGUCAACUCGGAGGAAGGUGGGAUGACGUCAAAUCAUCAUGCCCCUUAUGUCUUGGGCUUCACGCAUGCUACAAUGGCCGGUACAAAGGGCUGCGAUACCGCGAGGUGGAGCGAAUCCCAGAAAGCCGGUCUCAGUUCGGAUUGGGGUCUGCAACUCGACCCCAUGAAGUCGGAGUCGCUAGUAAUCGCAGAUCAGCAACGCUGCGGUGAAUACGUUCCCGGGGCUU
RNAcentral lists this ribosomal RNA (349 nucleotides) under uncultured Cellulomonas sp. RNAcentral describes it as "bacterial SSU rRNA". It matches the Rfam family "Bacterial small subunit ribosomal RNA", at positions 1034 to 1382 of the family's 1533-position model. Lineage: Bacteria; Bacillati; Actinomycetota; Actinomycetes; Micrococcales; Cellulomonadaceae. The record is from RNAcentral.